Molecule: ribosomal RNA, 255 nt
Filed under: uncultured prokaryote
Description: partial 16S ribosomal RNA
Rfam family: Bacterial small subunit ribosomal RNA
Source: RNAcentral
UAAUACAGAGGUCUCAAGCGUUGUUCGGAUUCAUUGGGCGUAAAGGGUGCGUAGGCGGUGCCGUAAGUCGGGUGUGAAAUCCCGGGGCUUAACCCCGGAACUGCAUUCGAUACUGCGGUGCUCGAGGACUGGAGAGGAGACUGGAGUUCACGGUGUAGCAGUGAAAUGCGUAGAUAUCGUGAGGAAGGCCAGUGGCGAAGGCGGGUCUCUGGACAGUUCCUGACGCUGAGGCACGAAGGCCAGGGGAGCAAACGG